RNAcentral lists this ribosomal RNA (253 nucleotides) under uncultured bacterium. RNAcentral's name for it is "partial 16S ribosomal RNA". It matches the Rfam family "Bacterial small subunit ribosomal RNA", at positions 524 to 776 of the family's 1533-position model. The record is from RNAcentral.
UACAGAGGGGGCAAGCGUUGUUCGGAAUUACUGGGCGUAAAGGGCGCGUAGGCGGCCUUCUAAGUCGAACGUGAAAUCCCCGGGCUCAACCCGGGAACUGCGUCCGAUACUGGAAGGCUUGAAUCCGGGAGAGGGAUGUGGAAUUCCAGGUGUAGCGGUGAAAUGCGCAGAUAUCAGGAAGAACACCAAUGGCGAAGGCAGCUCUCUGGGACGGUACUGACGCUGAGACGCGAAAGCGUGGGGAGCGAACAGG